AUUUUUAUUAGUCAUUUCAGACAAGUUUCACUGAUAUCACAUUUUCUCUGGAUUUUUUUACUACAAGGUAUUUCAUAGUUAGAUGUAUAAAUAUUCUGGUAUCACUUCAGUUCUUUCUGGUUACAUAUAAGCAAUUUUCUUCAAUUAUACAUGAUUAAUUUUGCACCAACAUACUGACUCGUCCUGCUGCAAGACUGAAAAACCACAACAGAAGUUUGUCUUCUUGCAAGCAACUCAAUUAGUUCAACAUUAACUGUCUGUAUUUGAGGAUGAAAAUCUGAGCCAAGGCCCAAUCCAGAAUAAUGUUCUAAUUACUAAAUCACAAAUCCAGUUGGGAUUGUAGCACUUACAUGCAACACUUAAACAAUACAAUUUAUACAGCUGAUACAGGAUACCCAUAGUCACUUUUCUCAGUAUAGCCAGUUUUUAUUGGAUAAAAGAGCAAAAACUCAACUAUGAAUUACUUUUCAACCUGAGCUCUCAUUCACUGAACAUACUCUUUUGGGAACAGCAGGGACUAGAAUGUAUGGGAAUUAAUGAAACUCUGACCAACAGUUAAAAAUGCUGCUCAAGCCAAAGUUCCUGCAAUGAUAUCUAGAAUUCCCAAACACCAUUCAUACUGACAUGUGCACCUUGAUGUAUCUCAGCAGACUGAUCUCCUGUGGUUCCCAGGUUUUGGUCAUUUGUGCUCGGUGAGUUUUUGGCCUGUCAGUGCUAAGUGAGUUGAAGAACAUAUACUUCACUUAAACUUUUACUUCAGAAAUUCUAAUCACUUUGUAGUACUUAGAGUAAAAAGGGGGAAAGGAUAUUCUUGACAACUAUUAACAGAGGAUUUUGGUUUUGGAAGUACUGCCUUCACAACUAAAAAUUACAUUAGUAAUCAUAUAGCUUGCCUUCAUUUGUUAUUACAUUCCCCAGAAUUAAAAGAUACAACAUUCCAAGAGUUCUUAUGGUAUUCUGUUGAUUGGCGUGUAAAAACCUAGGCACCCUUGAUCCAAACACACUUGAAAACUAUGGGAAGAUUGCAUUGACUUCAUUUGAGGCAGGUUUUCUUUGCAACAUUCUAAAUUGUGUGACUGCCGUGGAGCAAAGGGAUCUGCAAAAGCAGAUGUUUUGCCAGUGAGCACACAGCAAUUGGAGCAUUCACCACCAGAAAAUAGCUGCCUCAUACUCUAAAUCUUAGUGGGAAGGGCUUGGAAGAGAUGUUUCUGUGGGCAUUGAUUUCAUGUAUCCCAUGUCAUUGAGAGCAAGUCACAGUCAAAGAUGACCUUUUUUUUACUGCUUCAAUAAAAACUAUAAAUCUUUCUAUGUUGGUUGAAAAUUAAUUGUAAACAUUCUGAUUUUACUAAAGCUUUGUAAAGUAUCUGAAGUGGUCUAAAUGGUGGCAGGUGGCAUGUGAUACAUUUUCCAGGUGAUACUAAUAAAUGCUUUACUUCAAGACUGAUAGUGUCAUUAUUACAGUUAAUUUUCAUUGCAUUUGAAUUUUUAUUGUUUCCAAUAUGGAGAGAAAAUGAAAUAUUCAUUACAGGUCAUAAAUGGGCAGCUUUCACCUUAACACUUGAAGCAUCAGUCUGAACUUGCCAAAUGCUAAAGAGUUCCAGCAUCUUAAAAUGAAAAACAGCACACUUGCUUUUUAAUUAAAGCCUUUUCUUGAUAGAGAAAGAUUUGUAUGGAAUUCAAACCCUCUCUGUUAUUGAUAUCUUUCACACUCCGGAGUGACGCUGUAGCAAGGUGAAGCUGCUCCAUUUUUGGUUUGAGAAUCAGCACCUCAAGAUGGUUUUUUAUCAUAAAAUACUGAAAUUGCAUUUAAGAACAGUUCUUAAUAGGUUACUUAACACAUUUUGAAUAAAUCACCUUAGAAAUCUGUGGGAAAAGACUGAGGAAAACAAACAAAGCUGGGUAGUUAAUGAACUUAAGGUAAAGUAAUUUCGUGGACUUGGAAAGCUGGACCUUUCUUGAAUGAGAACUCUUGAAUGAGUUUUCAUUCAAGCUGCAAGAGAUAUGGAACAAAUCAGAAACUAGCAGUAAAUAGUUUUACACACUUUUUCCUCUCUCAGAGAGUAACAUCUUUCAUAAACAGAGGCACAUUCAAAUUCCAGGCAAGGCCCAUGAAAGCGUAGACACUGUGUUUUCCAGUAGGUAAAGAAUAUUCUUUUCAGUGGCUGGAUUAAAGGCAACAGCUUUAGACAAAUACGUAGGCAGGAUAAAUCUUGUUAAACUCGUCAUUCACCAGUAUCGGGGCGCAAACAAGGAGGUCAUUGGCUGUGUAAUGCAGCAGCAGGGCAAAACCAAGCAGGGAAAGCAUCUUGGAUUUAUGGCAGGAGGUGUAAGCAAGUGAAUAGCUCUUGUCCACAGGGCUGGAAGUAAUCCAACUCGAUUCAGAGAUGCUGUGCAAGUGUGGAAUUACACACUUGGUGUCUAAUUGUACCAGUUCCCACAUGCUCACAAGUAUGUGUCUUGCCAGGGCUUUCAAAUCUCUGAGUCUCCAUGUCUGUGCUCUGAAUUCCAGUACAGUCCAAUAAAUAACCCAAAGUACCUCCAGCAGUGGCUAUGAUGAACUGUGACUGGAUUUGGCAGCAGAUAAGCUAGAAGAUCACUUCAGCUGUAUGACAGAAAACAUUUACCCUAUGAAAGAAUAAGAAUGUGAGUCCAGAGACAGCAGGCUGCAGGUCUGGACAUGGAUGUGGACAGUGAAGAUGUGUACAGUUUAUUUUUUUUGGACUGUCCUCAGUGAACAGAACAUUGAACACAAAUUCAAAACCAGCCUACAGGCCUCCCUUAACACUGGCCAUUCUGUGCAAAGUGGACACAGAUGUCUUUCCUCGUGCUGCUCCAAUCCAGCAAGGGAUGUGAUUGCUCGGACUGCCCAGGAGUCCCUGUCCCUGCCUGACCCCCAAGCCUCCGUCUGCCUUACACUGUGCACGCGGCUGCUCCUGCUCCCGGCUCUGCUCAUCUGAUCCACUGAAACAUGAGAAAGGAGUGAGGCAGUGACAGCCCCCAACUGCUGCAGGUCGAGAGCUGGAUUUUAGUGCAGUUUGACUCUGGAGAAAGUAAUUCAAAAUUAGCUGAAUGGCCCCAGUCUUAUAGAACACCUUCACUCACUUCUUUUAAUGAGGUAAAAUUACUCGUCCUCCACCACACAAUCAUCCUUUUAGUGACAUAUGUAAUAAAGGGAAAAUAAAAAAAGGAAAUAACAGCUGAGUCCACACAAGGAACUAUUAUAAAUGAAAACUCCACAGAUGUGGAGAUAACUGAAAUGAGGUAGCUUCCCAGCCAUGUAUUUUCCCUGAUGAUAAAUAAUAAUGACUUCCCCCCAAAUUAUUUUCAGGCUGUUUUUUCCGCUCUCUUCUAAAUUCUUCCAUACUUGAAAUUCAUAUUUAUGUAUGAAGCAGAACAUGAAAUGUCACCUUCACUAAUAAUAGCCUAAGGAUGUCUCACUUUUGACGGUGAGGAAGCUGAAAAAAAAAUCUUUAAAUAGGAUGCUCUAAAGUUCUUGGUUUGUACUAAAUUUAAUUUGCUGGAUUUUGAGCCAGGGUUCUCCAGGACACUUCAGAGUUCUAGGUGAUGACAGCUGUUGAGGUCAAACAGGUGCCUGGGAGCCACAGUGAACAUCACUGUAAGAAUCUGACAGAUCAUCACUUGUGAUAAAUCCAGUUACAAGACUUUGACAGCCUCACAGACUGAUGAACCUCAGGUGUUUCCUGCCUAAUGGCAAGACUGACAUACAGAAAUUUUCAAGUUAAAGGUGUCAGCUAUUCCAUUCUACAUUGGCAGUAGUUUGGGGCAACUAUCUCUGUCUUGGAAAAAAUUUAAAUCUUUGGGCCAGGGGUAAAAUAAGAGAUUUUUACAUCAUAGUUUUGAUUAAAUUUAAUUUGGGAUACCUGAAGAACAGUUUAAAUAAUUGUCACAAUUUUGUUCAUACUGUUUUGUCUCAUUAUUUCAUCUUACAACUUUCUUAAAUUAUCAGAAGCCUAAACAGGUGCCUCUGUGCAUUAUGUGGUAUCGCUGACUCGCAGGGAGGGAGCUUUAAGAGGGCAGACACCUUGUUUUAGCUGUCAAGUAUUCUGGAAAAUGAUGUAAAGAACGUGCACCAGCCUAAAAUGUGACAAGUUAAGUUGGCUAAUGAUGUUUCUGAUUCAGACUGAGUAGUAACAUGGCUCCAUGCUGAAAAUCAAUUCUAUUAC
Molecule: long non-coding RNA, 4184 nt
Filed under: Taeniopygia guttata (zebra finch)
Lineage: Eukaryota; Metazoa; Chordata; Aves; Passeriformes; Estrildidae
Description: lncRNA (ENSTGUG00000023134.1)
Source: RNAcentral